AUUGAACGCUGGCGGCAGGCCUAACACAUGCAAGUCGAACGAGUGGCGAACGUGUGAGUAAUGUCUGGGAAACUGCCCGAUGGAGGGGGUUAACUAAUGGAAACGGUAGCUAAUACCGCAUACCAUCGGAUGUGCCCAGAUGGGAUUAGCUAGUAGGUGAGGUAAUGGCUCACCUAGGCGCCGAUCCCUAGCUGGUCUGAGAGGAUGACCAGCCACACUGGAACUGAGACACGGUCCAGACUCCUACGGGAGGCAGCAGUGGGGAAUAUUGGACAAUGGGCGCAAGCCUGAUGCAGCCAUGCCGCGUGUAUGAAGAAGGCCUUCGGGUUGUAAAGUACUUUCAGCUGGGAGGCGUUACCAGCAGAAGAAGCACCGGCUAACUCCGUGCCAGCAGCCGCGGUAAUUC
RNAcentral lists this ribosomal RNA (406 nucleotides) under uncultured bacterium. RNAcentral describes it as "partial 16S ribosomal RNA". It matches the Rfam family "Bacterial small subunit ribosomal RNA", at positions 30 to 526 of the family's 1533-position model. The record is from RNAcentral.